Molecule: unclassified non-coding RNA, 200 nt
Filed under: Simocybe sp.
Lineage: Eukaryota; Fungi; Basidiomycota; Agaricomycetes; Agaricales; Crepidotaceae
Description: partial internal transcribed spacer 2
Source: RNAcentral
UUAAGUUCAGCGGGUAGUCCUACCUGAUUUGAGGUCAAAAUUGUCAUUUAUGUUGUCCAGAACGGACGGUUAGAAGCAGCAUAACCCCCUUCGAAAAGCGUGGUCGCCUAACAGCAUAGAUAAAUUAUCACACUGAUAGUCGGGUCCACCAGGGCACCGCUAAUGUAUUUCAGAGGAGCCGACUUUGUUAGAAGCCAGCA